This 2448-nucleotide long non-coding RNA is filed under the name Triticum aestivum (bread wheat). RNAcentral describes it as "long non-coding RNA (TAES_LNC004269)". Lineage: Eukaryota; Viridiplantae; Streptophyta; Magnoliopsida; Poales; Poaceae. The record is from RNAcentral.
GUCAAGAAGGUUGUUGGCCUUGGAGGCCGACACUAGCUGAUCAUCUACCUUCCAAUUAUAUUAGGCAUAUACCACUGAAACUGCAGGUCGCGCCCUCCUCCCACCGUAGGUGGUGCCCUCCUCCCGCAUAGCCUAUUGGUUGGUGUACCGUGACCCCUCCUCAUAUUUUUGGUAUGAAUUUGAUGAAUCUUCUUGAUGCUCUGUUCUUAUUCAUCUAGAGAUUCCUCCUCAUAUUGAUUGUUUGUAUUGCUCUGUUCUUGUCAUUUUGUAAAUUAGAAAACAGUAGUCAGUAUUUUUUUAUAAAAAAGUUUACCGCAUAAAAAAUGCAACAGUAGUUCAACACAAUAUCAAGGAGGGUGUGAGUUGGGUAUGGUUACAGACGAAAGAUAUGUGUUGAAAAGUUCACUUCGUCUACAUACGUAAGUUCAAAAAAUUGUCAUAGAGCUAGUUUAAAAAAUUGUCAAAAGGCAAAAUGGUUGUGCUAGUUCAAUUUUUUCAGUCCAUCUUCUGUAUGCUAUUCAGUACAUCUAAUUCCAAAUCGUAAGUACAAUUGCCUUUAUGUUUUCCAUCUUCAUAUAACACAAAAUAGGCACUGGAGGAUAAGGUGAGAAUAUAUACUAAUGAAAUGCUUGGUGGCGUUGUCCAUGUUUUGAAUUUAAACCACUAGCUUUUUUAUACACGAGCGCCUGUCCUGGGAGAGCCCUAUAUUGCCAUGAGCACUACUGCUACAAACUUUAAUCCCCCAUUGUCCGGCCCUAUAUUUUAUCCUCGGUUCUUAGAAAAGCAUGGAAACAAUUCUCUGUGUGUUAGAGUAUCAGUUCAUGUGGAGAAGAACAUGUUUCCUAUAUGAAAAAAAUAAUAUAUUAUUAUCAGUUCAAUAUGUAUUUUGUCAUUAGUUCAUACAGAACAACCGUAAAAAAUAUUUUGAUGUGUGUUAGAGAGAGAUCAACUUUAUAUUAUAUGGUAGCUCACUCAUUGCAUGAUUGCACAGCAGUUUGGCAUCAAAAUUCACAUCAGUUUAGGGGUGCCCGCAUCACGGUCUCACCGUGCUACCGCAAUCUCUCCUUGAUACGCCACCGGACGAGCCCCUCCUCACACUUUGGCAAGCUGUCACUUGCUCCUGUGCCUGGAUCCCAUGUGAGCGCUGAUGGUAGUCCUCUGUGUGCGUCAAUGGCACUUUCUCACAGCAAUCUCCCUCUCUUUCUUUGCUCCUGCUAUUAAAAUGCAUAGAUGUGGUAUUCUGCUAACUGAGUAGUUGGGAAGAUGUGAAAAGAACAUGCUCUUUAGGUGUUUGUGACUAUUCCUGUGAGCACCAAUGAAUUUAAAUUUUUAUUUUGUGCUUCCGUGUAUGUUUUUGGGCAGCACAAGUACAUCGUCAUAGUAAGUACAAAUGCGGUCUUAUGGAACUCUGAUAGUUGUUGGAUGCUAUUCCAAAUGCCAAUCAUGCAAAACGGUUGUUGCUAGAAUCUAGAUGAUAUUUAAUGUAGAUACCAUAGUUUCACCGUAUUUUUUGGUUCUAAAUAUUUCUGCAUACCUCUUUAAAAGAAUGUUCCGUUUGUGAUCAUUUCUUGUAGGUAUUCAUGUGGACUUUAAAUAAUGACUAUUCUUGUAUGAGGUUUGAAGAUUAUCGUGGAGCAAGUUCAAGAGAUUAGUUUCGUGAAAAUAAAUGUGAUCUUUUGGUCAGGAUUUUGCAUGAUCCAUAGCCAUCGAUGGCAACAGGAGGCGUCCUGCGUGAGUCGUCCAUCGUCUUCUAUGCGUGAGCUUGUUGUCUCUACACAUCUAGCAUCAGAGUAUCGCCUCCCCUUGCCACACACACAUGCGGUGUGGUCGAGCUAGUGUUGUUUGUGAUACUGCUCGUGACUCUUGCGUCGUCAUUGGACAAAGAAUUUGUUCUGUGACUAUGUAUUUGCAGGACCUUUAGCAAAUAUUGUUGUGUUCUGAGUAUUCUGAUGUGGGCCAAAUGGUGAGCAUUUAAACAUCAGUCUGAAUUAACAAAACUGAUAAGUUCUACUUUCAAUAAACUGAUGAACCUAGAUGCAACAAAGCUCUGCCAUUAGCCGUGGGGAUUAUCAGUUCAUGUGUAUUGUGUUCUUUUUGUCGGUUAAUGUAUUUCUUGUUUGUCAGGUCAUGUGCAAGUUUGUUAUCAGUUCAUGUGUAUGUGUAUUGGUGAUCUAUGCUAUUGCUGCUAGCUAUCGAUCAGACUGGUAUUACUUUGGCAGCUCCAUGUAAUUAGCCCCUUUGUUGGGUGAAUCUCCUACUACUUGCUAGCUUUGGAAUUGUAAAAACACAAUAAGUUCACAAUUUAAAAAGGUGUAAGUUCAACACGACGUCCUAGAUAAGUUUUAGGAAAAAGUUGAAACACAAAGAAAACCCAAAGAAAUUCAAAUGGUAACGUUCAAGUCGUGGGAUGAAAGAAGUCCAGAACAACGUUGAAAAUGUUAAGAGUUG